RNAcentral lists this ribosomal RNA (488 nucleotides) under uncultured bacterium. RNAcentral's name for it is "bacterial SSU rRNA". It matches the Rfam family "Bacterial small subunit ribosomal RNA", at positions 28 to 507 of the family's 1533-position model. The record is from RNAcentral.
GACGAACGCUGGCGGCGUGCUUAACACAUGCAAGUCGAGCGGGGAUAUUGACUUCGGUUGAUAUUCUAGCGGCGGACGGGUGAGUAACGCGUGAACAAUCUGUCCCAGACAGGGGGAUAACAGAUGGAAACAUCUGCUAAUACCGCAUAAGACCACGACCUGGCAUCGGGUUGAGGUAAAAGGAGCAAUCCGGUUUGGGGUGAGUUCGCGUCCGAUUAGCUAGUUGGUGAGGUAACGGCCCACAAGGCGACGAUCGGUAGCCGACCUGAGAGGGUGAUCGGCCACAUUGGAACUGAGACACGGUCCAAAACUCCUACGGGAGGCAGCAGUGGGGAAUCUUCCGCAAUGGGCGCAAGCCUGACGGAGCAACGCCGCGUGAGUGAAGAAGGUUUCGGAUCGUAAAGCUCUGUUGAGAGGGACGAGAGAUAUAAUCAGGAAAUGGGUUAUAGAGGACGGUACCUUUCGAGGAAGCCACGGCUAACUACGUG